GGGAAACUAGAAUCCUGCUAUAGAUUUGGCCAGCUUUAGCGGCGUCAUCUGGCCGCUGGAAUUUGAUUGAGGGCGUCUAGAGGAAUUUUCGGUCAGUUUGACCACACCAGAUGUGUUAAUAUCUUGUACUGUCCUGGUGCUAAACGGCACGCAAGGCGUUCCUGUUGGGGCGCCCGGUUCACUAUCUGUCAGAUGGAUUGUUCGUUUUAUCAGAUUGCAGUGAACCAGUAGAUUUAAUUAAAUAAAUGCGCAAGUAGGAUUCUCUUUGUCAAACUAUGUCAUUUUCUUGAUGACAUAAACAAAAGAAAGGUGUGAAGCACUGCUUUGCUCUUAUAGCAGACUGAUGGUGCUAACAGAAAGCCUUGCUGUUUUUGGUACAAGAUCACAUCAAGGGGUGUAUUGAUUUAUCAGUUGUACCUGGAAUGCAUGCGAAUAUAAGUUAUAAUUCUAUUGGUGUGCACAGCUGCAGUCAGAAACAAAUAAAAGACUCUGGCCCAAGAAAGGAACGAGAAGAUUCAGUGAAAAUUACACUGAAUGGACAGUGUCAAGAAGAUUAUACAAAAUAAAACUGUGAUGAAAGAAACUGAACGGGGUACUUACCAGCCACGUCAGUUCGGAUGGUUUUGAAAACCAUUGAGCCAAAGGCAUACAUAUAAAGAUAUCAUAAACAUAAAUUUUGAAAUGGCUAGUAAUUCAGGCUUCCAGCAAAACCCAUGGUCAGUUUGUGUUUAGUAUGGUCAGAUUCUUUUUUAUGUUAACUUCAGUUCAAGCUUCUGUGCGCCUAGGUUCACUAUCUGCUGCUUGUAGGAUACUUACUCCAUGGCUGAUAAUAUCAGCAUGAUGGAUAAAUCUUUUGUUUCACCCUGUCAUUUGUUCUCAAGAGGCCAAGUGGUUUUCUGCAAAAAGCAUCUAGAAGUAUUGUAAAUUCACAAGAAAUAACAAAAUUGUUUAAAGUUUAUUUGGGUUGGAUCUAUAUAUACACUAUUUUCUUAAAACACAAACCUGUACAUUCACAGCUGAAUAGAUGAUACAUUUUUUGAUCUGUACAUGCAAUUUUUUGCACUGGAUUGGUGGUUAGUUUUAUGUACCGUUUGAAUUAUAACAGAAUAGCAUUAGUAGUGCUCUGAUUUAGUUGUCAUCAAAAUCAACAGCCCUCUGUUGUGUUCCUGUUAUGAGAAUUGUUCCUUCAAGGAUAUGCCAGAAUGACAUAUGUGUUCAAUCUUCAAUGUGAACAAUUUCUGUUUUCCUCUUAGUUUUGGCCCCUAAAUAUUUUUCUUGAAGCUCCACUGCCGCAUCUUGUUCCUGGUAAAAAUAUGAAGGAAUCCCUUUUAACUUGUUCCUGUUCACAUACACAUGUUCAUGAGCACACAUUGACAUGGCCAAGCCUCAUGUGCACAUGGUGAGUGAGCUUCAGAAUUGAAUUUUGUUUUUGCUGGGUCAGCUCAACCCAAAAGAACUGUGUCACACACAUUUUUUUCAAAUAAACUGAAGCAUUCUUUUUUUUCAUUUCAUUUCAUCAUGUGUGUGCCAGAUGCUUUUACUUCUGCAAUGCGAAUGAGCUAAUGACGAACUACUCUAAUUUAAAUGAGUUGGGAUCCAUCACUACAAUAUGAGUGUCUUUGCAUUUUACUUAGCUUGUAAUCGAUAACCCAGUCCUUAACUAAAUAUUUGAUUACAUCAUGAGGUUUUCUACAAAUUAGUAGGGUAGUGGUUUCAGCUGCUGCAUUGUUGCUUAUAUUUGAUACUACACAAUGUGACCGGAGUUUAUUGUGAUUUAUAGAAGAUAGAAUCUGGAUGCAAUUGCUUUGAUAUUCCUGUUUGGCCCCCAGUCAUGCUCAUGAAGUACAAUGAGGUGUCCUCAUCUGACUAUUUCGCUAAUGGGUAAGCCUCACUGCCAAUCUUUCAGGUAGUAGUAGUACAGUGUCGCUAUCAUCUCUGUUUGUAUAUAAGUAUGCCACUGUUGAGGUUUAGCAAUCUCUGUUAUGGUGUUGAUCUGAAUGAUGCUUUUCUGUAUGUGAUAGCGAACUGGCUACCCUCGUGUAGUUGAGCAAUUAGUAUCCAUACAUGCCCAGUGCAUGCCUAAAUCCUGAGUUUUAUUUUUAAACACCUCUCCAUAUAUGUGGAGUGCCUAUUGUAAUUGUCAAGUGUGAAUUCUGUAUAUGAGGUGUGUUCUCCUUGUAGUAAUUUCUAGUAGCCUGCUUGUUAUGUGUAGAGUGCACAACACAUUACAUGUAUUGAGGAUGAAAUGGUCAGAGUAUGGCAUUUUCAAUUGAACUUACUUUUUUGGUGCUGAGCUGUCGAUAAAUUGGUGUUGGUACCAUGAUGCUUGAACUGUUAUUUUCUUUUGGUAAAUGAACUACUGCUUUGGUGCAUAGAUGUAUCUUCAUGAGUCACAACACUCCUGACAUGUAGGCGACUGGAGCGCACCAGAAGCAUUGACGGUGACUCAGUCCUCGGCGCCGCCCUCUGCUAGAGCGGUGCGUCCCCUCUCUAUUCUCCCAGCCACCCCUAAGUUUUGGAUUUGGAUCGUUUCUGUGAACUCUAGUCAUGCUCACUUGUAAAUCUGUUUUGAUGUUUAAACCGUGACUUAUGAUAAUCUGGUUUCACCGCCUUCCAGGGACAACAUAUAUACGCUCAAUACACUCUACUUGUUUUCCUGUAUAGUUUUCUUACUUGUUUUCCUUUAUGCGUUCACUCUUUUUCAGGAGCUCCAAGCCUAAUUUUUUUCCUUUAUGUUCACUCUUUUACAGGAGCUCCAGUCCUAAUUUUUCUGAGUGUGAAGCCAUGAAGCCAAGUGCGAAGCAGUGAAUGCUGGAGAGAGAUGAUGCUGGAGAGAUGCCCUUCCUGUAGGUUUGCACAUAAGCGGAAGUUCCUGGGUAUGCAAGAUUUGAUGGUUAAACUGGUUGAUGUGAUGUGAAUGAGUGUAUGGAAACUGGUUGUUGUGAUGUGAAUGAGUGUAUGUAGUUUCACAUGUUCUGUUUUGUAUAGCAUAUUGUAAUAAACUUAUUUUAGCUAUUAUUUGAAGAUUUUCAUAUGCUUUCUCUCUUCUGUCUGUUUGAAAUAUACAUAUAUAUUGCUUAUUAAUAAGCUGUGAAAAAUCUGACAUUUGGG
Molecule: long non-coding RNA, 3111 nt
Filed under: Triticum aestivum (bread wheat)
Lineage: Eukaryota; Viridiplantae; Streptophyta; Magnoliopsida; Poales; Poaceae
Description: long non-coding RNA (TAES_LNC006362)
Source: RNAcentral